RNAcentral lists this ribosomal RNA (253 nucleotides) under uncultured bacterium. RNAcentral's name for it is "partial 16S ribosomal RNA". It matches the Rfam family "Bacterial small subunit ribosomal RNA", at positions 524 to 776 of the family's 1533-position model. The record is from RNAcentral.
UACGAAGGGUGCAAGCGUUAAUCGGAAUUACUGGGCGUAAAGCGCGCGUAGGUGGUUCAGUAAGUUGGAAGUGAAAUCCCCGGGCUCAACCUGGGAACUGCUUUCAAAACUGCUGAGCUAGAGUACGGUAGAGGGUGGUGGAAUUUCCUGUGUAGCGGUGAGAUGCGUAGAUAUAGGAAGGAACACCAGUGGCGAAGGCGACCACCUGGACUGAUACUGACACUGAGGUGCGAAAGCGUGGGGAGCAAACAGG